GACGAACGCUGGCGGCGUGCUUAACACAUGCAAGUCGAACGGAAAGGCCCUGCUUUUGUGGGGUGCUCGAGUGGCGAACGGGUGAGUAACACGUGAGUAACCUGCCCUUGACUUUGGGAUAACUUCAGGAAACUGGGGCUAAUACCGGAUAGGAGCUCCUGCUGCAUGGUGGGGGUUGGAAAGUUUCGGCGGUUGGGGAUGGACUCGCGGCUUAUCAGCUUGUUGGUGGGGUAGUGGCUUACCAAGGCUUUGACGGGUAGCCGGCCUGAGAGGGUGACCGGCCACAUUGGGACUGAGAUACGGCCCAGACGCCUACGGGAGGCAGCAGUGGGGAAUAUUGCACAAUGGGCGGAAGCCUGAUGCAGCAACGCCGCGUGCGGGAUGACGGCCUUCGGGUUGUAAACCGCUUUCGCCUGUGACGAAGCGUGAGUGACGGUAAUGUGUAAAGAAGCACCGGCUAACUACGUG
Molecule: ribosomal RNA, 468 nt
Filed under: uncultured bacterium
Lineage: Bacteria
Description: partial 16S ribosomal RNA
Rfam family: Bacterial small subunit ribosomal RNA
Source: RNAcentral